This 484-nucleotide ribosomal RNA is filed under the name uncultured bacterium. Its description in RNAcentral is "partial 16S ribosomal RNA". It matches the Rfam family "Bacterial small subunit ribosomal RNA", at positions 30 to 507 of the family's 1533-position model. The record is from RNAcentral.
AUUGAACGCUAGCGGGAUGCUUUACACAUGCAAGUCGAACGGCAGCGCGGACUUCGGUCUGGCGGCGAGUGGCGAACGGGUGAGUAAUGUAUCGGAACGUGCCCAGUAGCGGGGGAUAACUACGCGAAAGCGUAGCUAAUACCGCAUACGCCCUACGGGGGAAAGUAGGGGAUCGUAAGACCUUGCACUAUUGGAGCGGCCGAUAUCGGAUUAGCUAGUUGGUGAGGUAACGGCUCACCAAGGCGACGAUCCGUAGCUGGUUUGAGAGGACGACCAGCCACACUGGGACUGAGACACGGCCCAGACUCCUACGGGAGGCAGCAGUGGGGAAUUUUGGACAAUGGGGGCAACCCUGAUCCAGCCACCCCGCGUGUGCGAUGAAGGCCUUCGGGUUGUAAAGCACUUUUGGCAGGAAAGAAACGUCGCGGGCUAAUACCCCGUGGAACUGACGGUACCUGCAGAAUAAGCACCGGCUAACUACGUG